UGGGGAAUAUUGCACAAUGGGGGAAACCCUGAUGCAGCGACGCCGCGUGAACUAAGAAGGUAUUCGUAUCGUAAAGUUCUGUCCUAUGGGAAGAUAAUGACAGUACCAUAGAAGAAAGCUCCGGCUAAAUACGUGCCAGCAGCCGCGGUAAUACGUAUGGAGCGAGCGUUGUCCGGAAUUAUUGGGCGUAAAGGGUACGCAGGCGGUUUAAUAAGUCGAAUGUUAAAGAUCGGGGCUCAACCCCGCAAAGCAUUGGAAACUGAUAAACUUGAGUAGUGGAGAGGAAAGUGGAAUUCCUAGUGUAGUGGUGAAAUACGUAGAUAUUAGGAGGAAUACCAGUAGCGAAGGCGACUUUCUGGACACAAACUGACGCUGAGGUACGAAAGCGUGGGGAGCAAACAGG
This 403-nucleotide ribosomal RNA is filed under the name bacterium. RNAcentral's name for it is "partial 16S ribosomal RNA". It matches the Rfam family "Bacterial small subunit ribosomal RNA", at positions 355 to 776 of the family's 1533-position model. The record is from RNAcentral.